This 490-nucleotide ribosomal RNA is filed under the name uncultured bacterium. Its description in RNAcentral is "partial 16S ribosomal RNA". It matches the Rfam family "Bacterial small subunit ribosomal RNA", at positions 30 to 507 of the family's 1533-position model. The record is from RNAcentral.
ACUGAACGCUGGCGGCAGGCCUAACACAUGCAAGUCGAACGGUAACAGGAAGCAGCUUGCUGCUUUGCUGACGAGUGGCGGACGGGUGAGUAAUGUCUGGGAAACUGCCUGAUGGAGGGGGAUAACUACUGGAAACGGUAGCUAAUACCGCAUAACGUCGCAAGACCAAAGAGGGGGACCUUCGGGCCUCUUGCCAUCGGAUGUGCCCAGAUGGGAUUAGCUAGUAGGUGGGGUAACGGCUCACCUAGGCGACGAUCCCUAGCUGGUCUGAGAGGAUGACCAGCCACACUGGAACUGAGACACGGUCCAGACUCCUACGGGAGGCAGCAGUGGGGAAUAUUGCACAAUGGGCGCAAGCCUGAUGCAGCCAUGCCGCGUGUAUGAAGAAGGCCUUCGGGUUGUAAAGUACUUUCAGCGGGGAGGAAGGGAGUAAAGUUAAUACCUUUGCUCAUUGACGUUACCCGCAGAAGAAGCACCGGCUAACUCCGUG